UCAACAGGAUGAAGUUUUUUUAUCAAUAUAUGUUUUUUCUGGCAUCUCUAAUGUUAGAACCUCACGGUUCGAUGAAUAGAACUCUUGACACUAUCUGAUG
Molecule: small nucleolar RNA, 100 nt
Filed under: Sungouiella intermedia
Lineage: Eukaryota; Fungi; Ascomycota; Pichiomycetes; Serinales; Metschnikowiaceae
Description: Candida intermedia Small nucleolar RNA snR48
Rfam family: Small nucleolar RNA snR48
About the family: snR48 is a member of the C/D class of snoRNA which contain the C (UGAUGA) and D (CUGA) box motifs. Most of the members of the box C/D family function in directing site-specific 2'-O-methylation of substrate RNAs.
Source: Rfam by way of RNAcentral